RNAcentral lists this ribosomal RNA (393 nucleotides) under uncultured bacterium. RNAcentral describes it as "partial 16S ribosomal RNA". It matches the Rfam family "Bacterial small subunit ribosomal RNA", at positions 523 to 918 of the family's 1533-position model. The record is from RNAcentral.
AUACGGAGGAUGCGAGCGUUAUCCGGAUUUAUUGGGUUUAAAGGGAGCGUAGGUGGGAUAUUAAGUCAGCUGUGAAAGUUUGGGGCUCAACCUUAAAAUUGCAGUUGAUACUGGUUUCCUUGAGUACGGUACAGGUGGGCGGAAUUCGUGGUGUAGCGGUGCAAUGCUUAGAUAUCACGAAGAACUCCGAUCGCGAAGGCAGCUCACCGGGCCGGAACUGACACUGAUGCUCGAAAGUGCGGGUAUCAAACAGGAUUAGAUACCCUGGUAGUCCGCACAGUAAACGAUGAAUACUCGCUGUUUGCGAUACACUGUAAGCGGCCAAGCGAAAGCGUUAAGUAUUCCACCUGGGGAGUACGCCGGCAACGGUGAAACUCAAAGGAAUUGACGGGG